RNAcentral lists this ribosomal RNA (2158 nucleotides) under Salmonella enterica subsp. enterica serovar Enteritidis. Its description in RNAcentral is "partial 23S ribosomal RNA". It matches the Rfam family "Bacterial large subunit ribosomal RNA", at positions 663 to 2802 of the family's 2925-position model. The record is from RNAcentral. Lineage: Bacteria; Pseudomonadati; Pseudomonadota; Gammaproteobacteria; Enterobacterales; Enterobacteriaceae.
GAGCCGGAGGGAAACCGAGUCUUAACCGGGCGUUAAGUUGCAGGGUAUAGACCCGAAACCCGGUGAUCUAGCCAUGGGCAGGUUGAAGGUUGGGUAACACUAACUGGAGGACCGAACCGACUAAUGUUGAAAAAUUAGCGGAUGACCUGUGGCUGGGGGUGAAAGGCCAAUCAAACCGGGAGAUAGCUGGUUCUCCCCGAAAGCUAUUUAGGUAGCGCCUCGUGAAUUCAUCUCCGGGGGUAGAGCACUGUUUCGGCUAGGGGGCCAUCCCGGCUUACCAACCCGAUGCAAACUGCGAAUACCGGAGAAUGUUAUCACGGGAGACACACGGCGGGUGCUAACGUCCGUCGUGAAGAGGGAAACAACCCAGACCGCCAGCUAAGGUCCCAAAGUCAUGGUUAAGUGGGAAACGAUGUGGGAAGGCCCAGACAGCCAGGAUGUUGGCUUAGAAGCAGCCAUCAUUUAAAGAAAGCGUAAUAGCUCACUGGUCGAGUCGGCCUGCGCGGAAGAUGUAACGGGGCUAAACCAUGCACCGAAGCUGCGGCAGCGACACUGUGUGUUGUUGGGUAGGGGAGCGUUCUGUAAGCCUGCGAAGGUGGCCUGUGAGGGUUGCUGGAGGUAUCAGAAGUGCGAAUGCUGACAUAAGUAACGAUAAAGCGGGUGAAAAGCCCGCUCGCCGGAAGACCAAGGGUUCCUGUCCAACGUUAAUCGGGGCAGGGUGAGUCGACCCCUAAGGCGAGGCCGAAAGGCGUAGUCGAUGGGAAACGGGUUAAUAUUCCCGUACUUGGUGUUACUGCGAAGGGGGGACGGAGAAGGCUAUGUUGGCCGGGCGACGGUUGUCCCGGUUUAAGCGUGUAGGUGUGUGUUCCAGGUAAAUCCGGUUCACUUUAACACUGAGGCGUGACGACGAGGCACUACGGUGCUGAAGCAACAAAUGCCCUGCUUCCAGGAAAAGCCUCUAAGCAUCAGGUAACAUCAAAUCGUACCCCAAACCGACACAGGUGGUCAGGUAGAGAAUACCAAGGCGCUUGAGAGAACUCGGGUGAAGGAACUAGGCAAAAUGGUGCCGUAACUUCGGGAGAAGGCACGCUGACACGUAGGUGAAGUGAUUUACUCAUGGAGCUGAAGUCAGUCGAAGAUACCAGCUGGCUGCAACUGUUUAUUAAAAACACAGCACUGUGCAAACACGAAAGUGGACGUAUACGGUGUGACGCCUGCCCGGUGCCGGAAGGUUAAUUGAUGGGGUCAGCGCAAGCGAAGCUCCUGAUCGAAGCCCCGGUAAACGGCGGCCGUAACUAUAACGGUCCUAAGGUAGCGAAAUUCCUUGUCGGGUAAGUUCCGACCUGCACGAAUGGCGUAAUGAUGGCCAGGCUGUCUCCACCCGAGACUCAGUGAAAUUGAACUCGCUGUGAAGAUGCAGUGUACCCGCGGCAAGACGGAAAGACCCCGUGAACCUUUACUAUAGCUUGACACUGAACAUUGAGCCUUGAUGUGUAGGAUAGGUGGGAGGCUUUGAAGUGUGGACGCCAGUCUGCAUGGAGCCGACCUUGAAAUACCACCCUUUAAUGUUUGAUGUUCUAACGUGGACCCGUUACCCGGGUUGCGGACAGUGUCUGGUGGGUAGUUUGACUGGGGCGGUCUCCUCCUAAAGAGUAACGGAGGAGCACGAAGGUUGGCUAAUCCUGGUCGGACAUCAGGAGGUUAGUGCAAUGGCAUAAGCCAGCUUGACUGCGAGCGUGACGGCGCGAGCAGGUGCGAAAGCAGGUCAUAGUGAUCCGGUGGUUCUGAAUGGAAGGGCCAUCGCUCAACGGAUAAAAGGUACUCCGGGGAUAACAGGCUGAUACCGCCCAAGAGUUCAUAUCGACGGCGGUGUUUGGCACCUCGAUGUCGGCUCAUCACAUCCUGGGGCUGAAGUAGGUCCCAAGGGUAUGGCUGUUCGCCAUUUAAAGUGGUACGCGAGCUGGGUUUAGAACGUCGUGAGACAGUUCGGUCCCUAUCUGCCGUGGGCGCUGGAGAACUGAGGGGGGCUGCUCCUAGUACGAGAGGACCGGAGUGGACGCAUCACUGGUGUUCGGGUUGUCAUGCCAAUGGCACUGCCCGGUAGCUAAAUGCGGAAGAGAUAAGUGCUGAAAGCAUCUAAGCACGAAACUUGCCCCGA